ACCCAUCUAACGAGUCCCAAAUAGGAUGAAACGUGCGUCCUGAAU
RNAcentral lists this non-coding RNA (45 nucleotides) under Schistosoma margrebowiei. The record is from RNAcentral. Lineage: Eukaryota; Metazoa; Platyhelminthes; Trematoda; Strigeidida; Schistosomatidae.